GACCGUUAAAACGGGUGAUUUGGUCAGAGAGGUUAUCCGAUCAGGUCCUUAUCGGUUUGGGCAUAAUGCCAAAAUCUGACUAGGUUGAGCCUUUGGCGAGACCGAACGAAAAAUGCUCUUU
RNAcentral lists this non-coding RNA (121 nucleotides) under Anaeromusa burkinensis DSM 3853. Its description in RNAcentral is "Anaeromusa acidaminophila DSM 3853 drum RNA". It matches the Rfam family "drum RNA". From Rfam's summary of the family: Firmicutes, Bacteroidetes (1 example), Proteobacteria (2 examples), Spirochaetes (2 examples). Terminator (Clostridia) Lineage: Bacteria; Bacillati; Bacillota; Negativicutes; Selenomonadales; Sporomusaceae. The record is from Rfam by way of RNAcentral.